Long non-coding RNA from Gossypium arboreum, 465 nucleotides. RefSeq lists it as uncharacterized. The transcript has 3 exons. NCBI's taxonomy places the organism in Eukaryota, Viridiplantae, Streptophyta, Magnoliopsida, Malvales, Malvaceae. The record is from RefSeq and is a predicted model, not a curated record.
AAAAAUAUUAAGAUGAAUAAAAGAAGAAAUUAAAAAUAAGUGUUCAUCUUCUUCUUCUUGCAAAAAUCGAAACCAAAGGAAAGAAAAAGAGAAAGUUCACUAAAGUAAUUCGGCACCCUCUUUUGCUACUUGGGGUUGGAGCUCAAGAUCAAAGGGAGCCAAGUUUGGCCAAAGUAAAAGCGAAAGCGGUUGAGUAGCUGAUCGGAGUUAUUCAUCCGACUAAAAGAUCAUCUUGUCGAGGAAAGCUUGGAAACCGUUAUGAAGUCAUCAUAUCUUUUGACUACCUUUUUGGUAUCUUUGUUUAAAACUCUAGUAGACAUUAUGGCAUGUAUAGAAUGAUAUUUUGGGAGGUUGCUAUUUUGAUAGUAUUGUAUAUAAAGCCAUGCGAAUAUGGCUAAAGUUCUAUGUAUGGAUUUGAUAAUGGUUUAGAUAUAAAUCUUGAAAUGAAAUCAACUUGACUUAUAA